This 259-nucleotide ribosomal RNA is filed under the name uncultured bacterium. RNAcentral describes it as "partial 16S ribosomal RNA". It matches the Rfam family "Bacterial small subunit ribosomal RNA", at positions 793 to 1055 of the family's 1533-position model. The record is from RNAcentral.
GUCCGCACUGUAAACGAUGAUUACUCGUUGCUGGGGAGCAAUUUCCAGUGACCAAGCGAAAGCGAUAAGUAAUCCACCUGGGGAGUACGCCGGCAACGGUGAAACUCAAAGGAAUUGACGGGGGCCCCGCACAAGCGGAGGAGCAUGUGGUUUAAUUCGAUGAUACGCGAGGAACCUUACCAGGGCUUGAAAGUUAGGGAAUGAUCCUGAAAGGGAUCAGUCAGCAAUGACCCGAAACUAGGUGCUGCAUGGCUGUCGU